Lyophyllum atratum is the source of this 95-nucleotide non-coding RNA. The record is from the annotation of a GenBank genome assembly. NCBI's taxonomy places the organism in Eukaryota, Fungi, Basidiomycota, Agaricomycetes, Agaricales, Lyophyllaceae.
GGCAACUUGGCCGAGCGGUCUAAGGCGCCAGAAUCAGGAUUCUUACGAACCUUAUCUGGUCUUUCGGGGCGUGAGUUCGAAUCUCACAGUUGUCA